AUUGAACGCUGGCGGCAUGCCUUACACAUGCAAGUCGAACGGUAACGGGCCUUCGGGUGCCGACGAGUGGCGAACGGGUGAGUAAUACAUCGGAACGUGCCCGAUCGUGGGGGAUAACGAGGCGAAAGCUUUGCUAAUACCGCAUACGAUCUACGGAUGAAAGCAGGGGACCGCAAGGCCUUGCGCGGACGGAGCGGCCGAUGGCAGAUUAGGUAGUUGGUGGGAUAAAAGCUUACCAAGCCGACGAUCUGUAGCUGGUCUGAGAGGAUGAUCAGCCACACUGGGACUGAGACACGGCCCAGACUCCUACGGGAGGCAGCAGUGGGGAAUUUUGGACAAUGGACGCAAGCCUGAUCCAGCCAUGCCGCGUGCAGGAUGAAGGCCUUCGGGUUGUAAACUGCUUUUGUACGGAACGAAAAGCCUUCUUUUAAUACAGGAGGGUCAUGACGGUACCGUAAGAAUAAGCACCGGCUAACUACGUG
Molecule: ribosomal RNA, 482 nt
Filed under: uncultured bacterium
Lineage: Bacteria
Description: partial 16S ribosomal RNA
Rfam family: Bacterial small subunit ribosomal RNA
Source: RNAcentral